GUGUUCGCUUUGGCAGCACAUAUACUAAAAUUGGAACGAUACACAUAUUAGCAUGGCCCCUGCGCAAGGAUGACACAUAAAUUUGUGAAGCAUCCUAUAUUUAA
Small nuclear RNA from Eptesicus fuscus (big brown bat), 104 nucleotides. NCBI's taxonomy places the organism in Eukaryota, Metazoa, Chordata, Mammalia, Chiroptera, Vespertilionidae. The record is from RefSeq and is a predicted model, not a curated record.